This 563-nucleotide ribosomal RNA is filed under the name Saccharomyces cerevisiae (brewer's yeast). RNAcentral's name for it is "partial large subunit ribosomal RNA". It matches the Rfam family "Eukaryotic large subunit ribosomal RNA", at positions 49 to 626 of the family's 3401-position model. Lineage: Eukaryota; Fungi; Ascomycota; Saccharomycetes; Saccharomycetales; Saccharomycetaceae. The record is from RNAcentral.
AGCGGAGGAAAAGAAACCAACCGGGAUUGCCUUAGUAACGGCGAGUGAAGCGGCAAAAGCUCAAAUUUGAAAUCUGGUACCUUCGGUGCCCGAGUUGUAAUUUGGAGAGGGCAACUUUGGGGCCGUUCCUUGUCUAUGUUCCUUGGAACAGGACGUCAUAGAGGGUGAGAAUCCCGUGUGGCGAGGAGUGCGGUUCUUUGUAAAGUGCCUUCGAAGAGUCGAGUUGUUUGGGAAUGCAGCUCUAAGUGGGUGGUAAAUUCCAUCUAAAGCUAAAUAUUGGCGAGAGACCGAUAGCGAACAAGUACAGUGAUGGAAAGAUGAAAAGAACUUUGAAAAGAGAGUGAAAAAGUACGUGAAAUUGUUGAAAGGGAAGGGCAUUUGAUCAGACAUGGUGUUUUGUGCCCUCUGCUCCUUGUGGGUAGGGGAAUCUCGCAUUUCACUGGGCCAGCAUCAGUUUUGGUGGCAGGAUAAAUCCAUAGGAAUGUAGCUUGCCUCGGUAAGUAUUAUAGCCUGUGGGAAUACUGCCAGCUGGGACUGAGGACUGCGACGUAAGUCAAGGAUGC